This 503-nucleotide ribosomal RNA is filed under the name uncultured bacterium. Its description in RNAcentral is "bacterial SSU rRNA". It matches the Rfam family "Bacterial small subunit ribosomal RNA", at positions 8 to 526 of the family's 1533-position model. The record is from RNAcentral.
AGAGUUUGAUCCUGGCUCAGGACGAACGCUGGCGGCGUGCUUAACACAUGCAAGUCGAACGGAAAGGCCCCUUCGGGGGUGCUCGAGUGGCGAACGGGUGAGUAACACGUGGGUGAUCUGCCCUGCACUUUGGGAUAAGCCUGGGAAACUGGGUCUAAUACCGGAUAGGACUACGCGAUGCAUGUCGUGUGGUGGAAAGCUUUUGCGGUGUGGGAUGGGCCCGCGGCCUAUCAGCUUGUUGGUGGGGUGAUGGCCUACCAAGGCGACGACGGGUAGCCGGCCUGAGAGGGUGUCCGGCCACACUGGGACUGAGAUACGGCCCAGACUCCUACGGGAGGCAGCAGUGGGGAAUAUUGCACAAUGGGCGCAAGCCUGAUGCAGCGACGCCGCGUGAGGGAUGACGGCCUUCGGGUUGUAAACCUCUUUCAGUCACGACGAAGCGCAAGUGACGGUAGUGACAGAAGAAGCACCGGCCAACUACGUGCCAGCAGCGGCGGUAAUAC